This 91-nucleotide transfer RNA is filed under the name Clostridiales bacterium. Its description in RNAcentral is "tRNA-Ser". It matches the Rfam family "tRNA". From Rfam's summary of the family: Transfer RNA (tRNA) molecules are approximately 80 nucleotides in length. RNAcentral also lists the same sequence under 2 other names. Lineage: Bacteria; Bacillati; Bacillota; Clostridia; Eubacteriales. The record is from RNAcentral.
GGAGAAGUACCCAAGUGGCCGAAGGGGCUCCCCUGCUAAGGGAGUAGUGUCAGUGAUGGCAGCCCGGGUUCAAAUCCCGGCUUCUCCGCCA